RNAcentral lists this ribosomal RNA (253 nucleotides) under uncultured bacterium. RNAcentral's name for it is "partial 16S ribosomal RNA". It matches the Rfam family "Bacterial small subunit ribosomal RNA", at positions 524 to 776 of the family's 1533-position model. The record is from RNAcentral.
UACGUAGGGUGCAAGCGUUGUCCGGAAUUAUUGGGCGUAAAGAGCUCGUAGGCGGUUCGUCGCGUCGGCUGUGAAAACCUGAGGCUCAACCUCAGGCCUGCAGUCGAUACUGGCGGACUUGAGUACUGCAGGGGAGACUGGAAUUCCUGGUGUAGCGGUGAAAUGCGCAGAUAUCAGGAGGAACACCGGUGGCGAAGGCGGGUCUCUGGGCAGUAACUGACGCUGAGGAGCGAAAGCGUGGGGAGCGAACAGG